Long non-coding RNA from Lycium barbarum (goji berry), 1101 nucleotides. RefSeq lists it as uncharacterized. Lineage: Eukaryota; Viridiplantae; Streptophyta; Magnoliopsida; Solanales; Solanaceae. The transcript is spliced from 3 exons. The record is from RefSeq and is a predicted model, not a curated record.
AACAUGCUUAAUUCAAAGUAUUCAUAGAAAGAGAAUUACUUACUUACUUUUCUGAUUCUAAGUUUCUCAUCCCCCUUCUUCAUUCUACAAUCCUUAGUUCUUACUUUCAAUGUUUCUGCAAUUUUAUUUGAGAAUUUACUUUCCGGAAUUGUAAUUGAACUUUUGUGUUAUUAAUAUACUUGAGAACCAGAUUACUGUUACAUUGGAUUUGAGUUCAUUACAUAAGUCUCCCUCAGUUUUUGACUAUUAAAAACACACAAAUCAAAUCUCCAACAUACAUCUCGGCAAUCUCCAUUUUCCGGCGGAUUUGAUUGGAGUGCUAUGAAUUGCACAUCAUUCAACAGCCCAAGAGGUAUGAGAAAGAAGGGAAGCUUUCUGAGUUGGCCCAUAUUGACAUUUUUGUUAGUACAGUGGAUCCGUUGAGUUAGACCAUAUUGACACUUUUGUUAGUACAGUGGAUCCGUUGAAAGAGCCUCCACUUAUUACUGCAAAUACUGUUCUUUCCAUUCUGGCUGUGGAUUAUCCCGUGGACAAGGCUUCAUGCUAUGUCUCUGACAAUGGUGUCGCCGUGCUUACUUUUGAGGCACUCUCUGAAGGAUUUGAGUUUUCAAGGAAAUGGGUCAAACGCAACUCUCAACAUAAGAAGGAAACAGUAACACGCCUAAUGCAAUUCUAUAAUCAAAAGAUGGUGAACAUGAAGGAAACUGAAGUAAAGUUCUUUGAGAGGUUUGUCAACACAGUCAUAGAAAUGUUGUUACAACUUUUACGUUUGUCUUCUUUUCUCUCCUUUUACUUGAUUUGUUUCAAAACCCAGUAUCAUAUUCGGCAACAUCGAACAACCAAGGUUCUAAGAAAACUCUCUUCUACACUGGAAGCAAGCAUAGUGAUUUGGGUAGGGAUUUAGUAGCUCAGUUGGUUGGCUACCUGAACUCUCACCUUGUUGGUGAGAGUUCGAAUCCCACAUUAUAAUCCCCUUUCCCUACCCCUUAUGUAAUAAAAACAAUUUAAAAAAAAAAAAAAAGCAUAGUGAUUUGGGUAAGGGACUUUCCUUUUUUGUCAAUAACACUUCUUCAUCUCCUUUACGUUAUAAUUUUUGUUUAC